RNAcentral lists this ribosomal RNA (497 nucleotides) under uncultured bacterium. RNAcentral describes it as "partial 16S ribosomal RNA". It matches the Rfam family "Bacterial small subunit ribosomal RNA", at positions 28 to 507 of the family's 1533-position model. The record is from RNAcentral.
GAUGAACGCUGGCGGCGUGCCUAAUACAUGCAAGUCGAGCGAACGGACGAGAAGCUUGCUUUUCUGAUGUUAGCGGCGGACGGGUGAGUAACACGUGGAUAACCUACCUAUAAGACUGGGAUAACUUCGGGAAACCGGAGCUAAUACCGGAUAAUAUUUUGAACCGCAUGGUUCAAAAGUGAAAGACGGUCUUGCUGUCACUUAUAGAUGGAUCCGCGCUGCAUUAGCUAGUUGGUAAGGUAACGGCUUACCAAGGCAACGAUGCAUACCCGACCUGAGAGGGUGAUCGGCCACACUGGAACUGAGACACGGUCCAGACUCCUACGGGAGGCAGCAGUAGGGAAUCUUCCGCAAUGGGCGAAAGCCUGACGGAGCAACGCCGCGUGAGUGAUGAAGGUCUUCGGAUCGUAAAACUCUGUUAUUAGGGAAGAACAUAUGUGUAAGUAACUGUGCACAUCUUGACGGUACCUAAUCAGAAAGCCACGGCUAACUACGUG